Molecule: long non-coding RNA, 793 nt
Organism: Saccostrea cuccullata (small rock oyster)
Lineage: Eukaryota; Metazoa; Mollusca; Bivalvia; Ostreida; Ostreidae
Exons: 4
Source: RefSeq, a predicted model, not a curated record
CCCUACAUAAACAAAUACAUGGGCGCAGACAUUUUGGACACCCAAAGUUGUGCGGAGGAGAAAAUGCUACCUGGCGCGUGAUUGGUCAAUAAGAGAAAAGACUUGAUAUGUAUUUGACAAGUGAAAUAAAGUUGAUAAAAAUGUAAUAUCAAGACUUGGGUUUCUUUGAGAUAUGUAGGAGUUACAGGUAAAAAUUUGAAAGGAGGGGUGCCCUUUGGUUAGAGAUUUUCAUUUGGUGUCAAACGCACCUUGUUGUAAACAAAUGGAAAUUGAAAGUAAAAGUGCCGCGUGACGGUAUAUUUUUUCUGUCAUUUUUUGUUUUCCAAUAUCUCGAACUUUCACGACAAAAAGGCCAUUUGCCCGAAAUUCAAUACAUGUAUGAGUGACAGGGGCUCAAGUUUGUAUGGAAGUCUAUGGGAAAACAUUUAGUGGUGUUUGUCCUAUAGAAUAGCGAUGCAUUCUCAAGAAAGAGGAGAUUAAUGAACCCUCCCCUCUUACAAUGAACUACACAUGGACACUCUCAGGAUGGUCCCUUUGCUCUCAUUAAGAGUUCCAAGAUGAGGGUCUGAUUGACUGGGGUGUGAAAUGUAACAGCCAAUGGUGUACUUAAGCUAAGACUGUCAGUCCCAAUAUUCAAGAGGAAAAACCCCUACAUAAACAAAUACAUGGGCGCAGACAUUUUGGACACCCAAAGUUGUGCGGAGGAGAAAAUGCUACCUGGCGCGUGAUUGGUCAAUAAGAGAAAAGACUUGAUAUGUAUUUGACAAGUGAAAUAAAGUUGAUAAAAAUGUAA